ACCCAACCCAAUACAACAGUAUACGUACAACAUACCAAACGACCCAACCCCAACCCCUGUAUUUGCCUUCGUCUUCUUCACGCAAGAACAAUGAAGAACAUUGUGAAAUCCAGAAACACGACCCACCCCUGUACUUGUUUGCCUAGAAGUUCUAGAAAAGCGGUGCCAGCAGUACUAUCCCAUCACCAUCGCUGUUUUCUCCCCCCUUUAGAGCUUCCUAUCUGUUUUACUGUUGGUCUUGAAAAGGAGCAAAGAAAAUUCAAACUCUUUCAUUCAAAAUUCAAAAGGGUUUCCCCCUAAACCAACACCAAAUUCCUCUAUAUAAACCUCCAUCUUCUUUAGUGUAGGAGAGAAGAAAAAUCAUGUUGAGAAAAAUAGGGCAGGAAAGAUUAAGAUAGAAGAAAAAUAGAGAGAGGCUAACAAUAGAGUUGGGAAAAGCGAGGAAAAACAAUAAGAAUUUCUUAAGAAUGGAGAGGGGGAGAUGGAGAUAGUUCUACCAUUAGAAACAGAAUAACAAUUACAAAAGAUAGUAGGAUUGAGGACAAUAGUAUUCUGUAGCUAGAUUUUUCGGGUUAGAUGUUAGAUUCUGCCGAAAUUUCACUUGUGGCGGUGAAUAGCUUCACGGUUAAGCUCGUUGUACCGGUUUCUUUGCCUCGAAGAGGUAACAUUCCUUUAAUUUUUCAUUUCUUUUAGUUCAUUUUGUUUCAACGUUAUAUGAACUCUCCAGUGUUUAGCCUACAUCUUAAUGAUUUUAAUUUUGAGUUUUUUCUCAUUUAAAUUUCUUAUCUAUGCUUUGAUCUACUCUACUUAUAGUAUUGAGCUUUCUGAAUAUGUUUAAUCUCUGGCCCCCUUUCCUUGCAAUUGCUACUUAGUUCUAGUAUAGCUCACAUGUUGAUGAAAUAUUGUUGUCUUAAUAUUUUGUUUACCGUGAAUCUGCAUUUGGAUGUGAUAUGGACCAAGUUAAUUAAUGUGCACUGCUACCUGUUUUCAACCAAAUGAUUUGUUAUUGUAUUUAGCAAUACAACAUAUGCUCUUUGUUAACUCAUAUUAUAUGUAGACUUGUUUUUAACUUAUAAUGUCUGCACACUAGUGUAGUCUUGAGUAUAUUUGGUUAUGAUUUUAACACAUUUCAGUGUCUACUUCUAGAUACAUUUGUGCGUAGUUUGGCAAACUCACCUUGAUUCAUGUCAUCUCGAUCUAAGAUCGAUCUGUGUUUAUUUGGUCGAUGCAUUUUUCAAUUGUCUACUUUGAAUACUCUAUCACUAUGUCUAUGUUUCCUAUUUACCUCUUGCCUUAAAUCUCAUGUGUCAUCAUUGACAUUCUUAUCUCGUGAUGAGUAGAUGUCUUCAUCUAAAGUCUUAUUAAUUUGAAUCUUGCGUCAUUUGGUGUAUCUUGCUACUAAUCUUCUGAAUGCCAACAAACUGGUUUGGCUUAUUCUCUUAAUGUGUUAUAGUUGUGAUUUUUAUGUUGUGAAGCUUUAGAAUCAUUUGAAUGCUAAAAAUUGUUUGUUACUUUUCCAAAUAAGUAUUGGUAAUGUGCAUCUAAUUCCUUACUGCAUGACAUAUAAUGCAACCACUUUCAUAUUUUAUCAAAAUUGUUUGGUUUUAUCCUUAUAGACUAACAGUACCCUUAAACAUUGUUCAAGUGGAUUCAAUAUUAUUCUUCUCUUGAUCUUGUUGGAUCGUAAAUGCUAAAUCAUAAAAAUAGUUUGUUAUGUGUAUUCAUUUGUAUGCCAAUGGAGAAAUGUGAUUUUUUUAAUCUAUCUGGAAGUAUGCUGAUAGAUUUGGGAUUUUAAAUUGUUUAAAUAUAUUUUAGUUGAUUAAUUAAACGAUACUACUUUGUUCACCUCUCCUUUUUCUCGCAUGUGAUCAAUCCGAGUUUAUUUUGGACUCCAUUCCUACAUUUCGUUGAGUAUAGAUUCUUAUUGGGUCGAACUUCAUCAUUGUUCGAGUUUUGGAAGCGAAAACAGGUCUUGGAGAGUCCAAAAAUUGAUUGUAUACAUUCAAUCUACAAUGAUAUAUAGGAGAAAAUGCAGCAAAAUAGGUCAAAACGCAGAUACACAUGUCAAAUGUUGAUAUACAAGUUGAAAACAGGAAAUCUCAGUCUCGAAAAAUCCAAAACGAGCUAUAUACAAAUUGUUUACAAUAGUAUUUUGGGAAAAUUGUGGAGAAUGGCAAACUAAGGAAGAUGUUUGGUUCAAUCAAUGGAUGCCCAAUCUCCAUCGAAAAGAUUCACAAGAGGUAUACCAUUGCAUGUUGAAAUUGAUGUUGAACACCCAUCAUUUUCAUUGGGUCUAACUCAGGAAUUUGGGGAGAUUUCAGAUUCAUUGUCUAAAUUUACUACCAUUCAAGAGAUAAGAUCCAAAUUCAAUAAUGACCCAAGUAGAUUUGUUGAUGGAGGUGUGAAGAAUCUUGUCGAUGUUGUUACUGGGUCAAGUAAGAAAAGGAAACAUAAAGCUGAUGUUUAUACCGUUCAGAAUAAUAAAAAUGAAGCUGUUGGUUCUGGGUCAAUCAAGCAUCAUAAGGUAUCUGUAUAAUCAUUGUUCAUGUACAUAUUUAGAUUUUAUAUUAUAUGUUUUGUUUUUGUGUUGAAUCAUGUCUUAUACAAUUGCAAUUGUAUAAAUGUAUAAUCUAUAUUAGUAUAUGUUUUUGUGUUUCUGUUGA
This is a long non-coding RNA of Solanum pennellii, 2663 nucleotides long. RefSeq lists it as uncharacterized. The record is from RefSeq and is a predicted model, not a curated record. The transcript has 2 exons. NCBI's taxonomy places the organism in Eukaryota, Viridiplantae, Streptophyta, Magnoliopsida, Solanales, Solanaceae.